This 492-nucleotide ribosomal RNA is filed under the name Bacillus sp. RHF60. RNAcentral describes it as "bacterial SSU rRNA". It matches the Rfam family "Bacterial small subunit ribosomal RNA", at positions 8 to 482 of the family's 1533-position model. The record is from RNAcentral. Lineage: Bacteria; Bacillati; Bacillota; Bacilli; Caryophanales; Bacillaceae.
AGAGUUUGAUCCUGGCUCAGGAUGAACGCUGGCGGCGUGCCUAAUACAUGCAAGUCGAGCGAACUGAUUAGAAGCUUGCUUCUAUGACGUUAGCGGCGGACGGGUGAGUAACACGUGGGCAACCUGCCUGUAAGACUGGGAUAACUUCGGGAAACCGAAGCUAAUACCGGAUAGGAUCUUCUCCUUCAUGGGAGAUGAUUGAAAGAUGGUUUCGGCUAUCACUUACAGAUGGGCCCGCGGUGCAUUAGCUAGUUGGUGAGGUAACGGCUCACCAAGGCAACGAUGCAUAGCCGACCUGAGAGGGUGAUCGGCCACACUGGGACUGAGACACGGCCCAGACUCCUACGGGAGGCAGCAGUAGGGAAUCUUCCGCAAUGGACGAAAGUCUGACGGAGCAACGCCGCGUGAGUGAUGAAGGCUUUCGGGUCGUAAAACUCUGUUGUUAGGGAAGAACAAGUACGAGAGUAACUGCUCGUACCUGACGGUACCUAA